UGAUUUUGCCAUCGAUUUGUGUCCUACAUUGUAAUCUCCACCUUUCUUCUUUCAUCCUUCAGCAGACGACACUCCUCCAGUCCUCCUUCAAUGUCCAUGGCAGCUGCCGCCAUUCCUGCGUUAACCUUUCAGUCAGCAUCUAUUUCAACAACAAAUCAUUCGGUUUCUCCCAGGCGCCACUACCUUUUCAACCUCAAACCCAGUUCCGCGAAGGAUAGGUGUUUGCCCCUUUGCGCAACUCACGCUUCCGUUUCCCCGAUGGAGGGAUUCUUCGCAAACGACGAUUCGAACGAUAAGGGAAAUGGAGAUAAAAAUUUGGAUGCUGCUCAAUACGAAGCUCUGCUCAAAGGCGGUGAGCAGGUGACCUCUGUUUUCGAAGAAAUGAUCACGCUUUUAGCGGACAUGAAUAUGGAUGAAGCAUCUGAGGAGGUAGCAGUGCAAUUGGCUGCACAGGGAGUGAUUGGCAAAAGAGUGGAUGAAAUGGAAGGAGGGUUUAUGAUGGCUCUUGAUUACAUGAUAAAUCUCGCUGAAAAGGACCAGGAUGAUAAGAGGAAGUCUCUCUUGGAGGUGAUUAAAGAGACUGUGUUAUCUCAUCUCACGAAAAAAUGCCCCCCUCAUGUUCAAGUUAUUGGCCUACUUUGCAGAACUCCGAAGAAAGAGAGCAGGCAUGAAUUGCUGAGGCGAGUGGCUGCCGGUGGUGGUGUCUUUGAGGGGGGGAAUGGCACAAAAGUUCAUCUUCCAGGAGCAAAUUUGAAUCAAAUAGCUAACCAGGCUGAUGAUCUUCUUGAGACAAUGGAAUCCCGUCCCGUCAUUCCUGAUCGGAAGCUACUUGCGAGGCUUGUUUUAAUCAGAGAAGAGGCCAGGAACAUGAUGGGAGGUGGAAUACUGGAUGAAAGAAAUGAUCGUGGUCUCAACACUCUUCCUGAAUCGGAGGUGAACUUUUUGACCAAACUUGUUGCCUUAAGACCAGGGCAAACAGUGCGCGACAUGAUAAAAACUGUCAUGCAAGGAAAAGAUGAAGGUGCAGAAAGUUCCGAGAGCAAAGACGAUGUAAGAGCAGAAAAUAUUCCUGAGGGAAUAGCGGGAAGGGGUAGCGUUAGCGGCCGCAAGGCAUUGCCUGUGCGUCCUGGAAUGUUUCUUGAAACUGUUUCUAAGGUAUUAGGUGGCAUAUAUGCAGGAAAUGUACCUGGAAUUACGGCACAGCAUCUAGAAUGGGUUCAUCACAACACACUCCAAAUACUUGAAGAAAUUGCAUUCUAGAUUUCCUCUGCAGGCAGGGAAGGAAAGGGAACCAUUUUAUUUUGGCAAGCGAAAUGCUGAUUCUACUUUUCCUUGCCAAAAAAAGGGCCCCUGGGUGGGCUGGAUUCCUUCCUAAUUGCAAAUUAAUUAAUUAACCAAAGCAAACCAUGUGUGGGAAUGGACCUGCCUUGCCUUCACUGUGGGACCACACAACAAACACAAACACAAAGCGAGGUUGCGAGGUCAUGGAUGGUGAGAGAGAAGCACAUGGACCUAGGUGCAAGAAAGAAAAGGCUUUUUCCAGAAAAAGGUAAGAAAAAGCUAGCCAGCCACAUGUAUGUAUGUAUGUAUGUGUACGUGUAUUGCACACACUAAAAUAAAUAAAUAUACUAA
This is an RNA transcript of Andrographis paniculata, 1632 nucleotides long. It is a transcript of the gene named protein PEP-RELATED DEVELOPMENT ARRESTED 1, chloroplastic, with no coding region annotated. NCBI's taxonomy places the organism in Eukaryota, Viridiplantae, Streptophyta, Magnoliopsida, Lamiales, Acanthaceae. The transcript has 11 exons. The record is from RefSeq and is a predicted model, not a curated record.